This 301-nucleotide ribosomal RNA is filed under the name uncultured bacterium. RNAcentral's name for it is "partial 16S ribosomal RNA". It matches the Rfam family "Bacterial small subunit ribosomal RNA", at positions 509 to 809 of the family's 1533-position model. The record is from RNAcentral.
CAGUAGCCGCGGGAAUACGUAGGGUGCAAGCGUUAAUCGGAAUUACUGGGCGUAAAGCGUGCGCAGGCGGUUAUAUAAGACAGAUGUGAAAUCCCCGGGCUCAACCUGGGAACUGCAUUUGUGACUGUAUAGCUAGAGUACGGCAGAGGGGGAUGGAAUUCCGCGUGUAGCAGUGAAAUGCGUAAAUAUGCGGAGGAACACCGAUGGCGAAGGCAAUCCCCUGGGCCUGUACUGACGCUCAUGCACGAAAGCGUGGGGAGCAAACAGGAUUAGAUACCCCCGUAGUCCCUGUCUCUUAUAA